GGGGUGGGGUGAGGCCAGCUUAGGUCUGCGAGGGUGGCCGUGGCGAGCUCCGCGCGUCCCGUCUUAAACGGUCCGCCAGAGACAGGAGGAGGAACGCAUGAGCUUACUCGGUGAGGUGACCAAGGAGACGCCAAGACUCACGUUUGUUUUCUCCUAUCCGGAUCCAACCUGCACUUCACUUUACAUCUGAGUUCCCCAAGAAAUCCCCACUGCCCCCAAAGCCUUCCCCUUUGGUGCUACGUAGGGGUGACCACACGGACUGGCCGGCUCCCCAAACCUUUGUACGCUAGUUUCCCAAGUGAGUCCCCAAAGCCAAGGCUGUCUGAUCACACUAGCAGGGAAUGGAGGAAAUGAAACCAUUGUGCAGUAAUAUCAAGAGGUGGGUGAGUGGGGCUGGAGAGAUGACUCAGUGGUUAAGAGCACUGGCUGCUCUUCCACGAUUCCCAGCACCUUCAUGGAGACUCACAACCAUCUCUUAACUCCAGUUCCAGGGGAUGUAAUGACCUCUUUUGGUCUCCGAGGAUGCCAGGCACACAAGCGGUUCACAGACAUACAUGCAGACAAAAUACCCAUGCACAUAAACUUUAAAGAAAUUCUUAAAGGUGGAUUUGGGAGAGCUGGUCCUCCGAGCUUAGCCUGACCAUCACCAUCCUGGGACAUGAGUUACCAUGGUGACUGAGCAGAGACCCCAGCUUGUGACUGGGACAUAGCAGAACUUAAAUAAAAUUGAGGGGAUAAUUGA
Arvicola amphibius (Eurasian water vole) is the source of this 742-nucleotide long non-coding RNA. RefSeq lists it as uncharacterized. NCBI's taxonomy places the organism in Eukaryota, Metazoa, Chordata, Mammalia, Rodentia, Cricetidae. The transcript has 2 exons. The record is from RefSeq and is a predicted model, not a curated record.